UAUCUGUCAUUAAGAGAUGACAAUGAGCAGACCUUAUUUGAUUGUCAAGAGUUAUUCAUUGUUUCAUGAGGAGGUGAAGUGCAAAAUGUUUAUGCUGUAGGGUGACUCGAAAAGCAUUGGUUAAUUAAAGAUUCCCUUUGAUCUAUACCCAGCCUGCAUAAGCUUUCAGAUUUUGAAGGGCCCCGAUCGGGGGGACGGGUGAAAGUAAGGGCUACGGGCUAUCCCGCUCCUAACUGACCGAACGCCCAUAGGGCGUAGCCGUUACGCGCUGACAGUGACCCGUAUGUCGGACUUUUCACUCCGCCCUCUGACCUCGCGCCCGCAUUUGCUGACCGGCUGUCGGACUCCACACUCGCCGCCCGAUGGGCUUCUACCUGCAACAACCGCUUUGGUCAUCGCACUCUCGACUUUGGUUAUUUCACUUUCUAGGAAAUGCUGAAGAUCGGGGAUCGUGCUUAGUCAAAGCAUUGUAAUAAUGCCGACUACAAAACAGUCAACAGAUAACUCCACAGCGUGGCUGAAGAUGAGCCAAGCUGAAUGUAUAGUGAUAUUCAAUAUCCUGGAAGGGUUGUAAGAAAAUCAACUGACAUGGUAUGUGACGAGACUGGUUAUUCCCAAUCUGGAAUGAGUGGAAUUAUAAAAGAAGAACUAAAAUAUUUCAUCACUCUGCAUAUGAAACAGGAUUAUUGCUGUACCAGUAAGUGUUUUGAAGUGGCUUCUUAAAUUGCUACUUUUUUAUUAUGUGAGCUUAAGUACUUUAUUUUGCAAGGAGAGAGAUUCUUGCAGUGAGUCUGACUGGGUUUAGCUAUAAGUCAGUCUCACAAGAUAAAUGCUCCACUUUCAUUUAAGUGUCCUGUCACUUGAUAGCUUGUCAAAAUUUUAAUUUUUCCAUUUUUAAUGUUCCUGUUCAAGUAGAUUGAAAACUUUAGAUAUAGAUAUGUAAAAGAGAGAGAUAGCAUAUCUAACCAUACACUGAAAACUACUGACAUUUCAUCAAUACAUGAAAGAUGUUGCUACUCAUAACGAGAUAAUUGUUACGACAGAGCAGGCUCUUUUAGUCAAAAUGCUUCAUUGAAGAAAUAGUGGGGCAGGCUGGUAGAAAUUGUGGUGCUAGUUAUGUAGGGCAAAGGUUGGGAUACUGAGAGCAUACUUGAUUGUUUUUGUUUUGUUUUUGCAAGUCAAUAUGUUUUCCUGUUUGGUUUGCAUAUGACCCUGAAGUAGACUGUAGUUUCAUGUACAAAUGUAUUACAAUGAAACAUUUGUAUUUGACUUUUAACCAUCACAAUUUCCCUUUGUGCACAGCAGCAGCCUGGGGAUAUUAUAUCUGCCACUGCUUACAAAUAGUUUGGAAGUAACAGGCAAGA
This is a long non-coding RNA of Pomacea canaliculata, 1364 nucleotides long. RefSeq lists it as uncharacterized. NCBI's taxonomy places the organism in Eukaryota, Metazoa, Mollusca, Gastropoda, Architaenioglossa, Ampullariidae. The transcript has 3 exons. The record is from RefSeq and is a predicted model, not a curated record.